RNAcentral lists this ribosomal RNA (253 nucleotides) under uncultured bacterium. Its description in RNAcentral is "partial 16S ribosomal RNA". It matches the Rfam family "Bacterial small subunit ribosomal RNA", at positions 524 to 776 of the family's 1533-position model. The record is from RNAcentral.
GACGAACCGUCCUAACGUUGUUCGGAAUUACUGGGCGUAAAGGGCUCGUAGGCGGCCAACUAAGUCAGACGUGAAAUCCCUCGGCUUAACCGGGGAACUGCGUCUGAUACUGGAUGGCUUGAAUCCGGGAGAGGGAUGCGGAAUUCCAGGUGUAGCGGUGAAAUGCGUAGAUAUCUGGAGGAACACCGGUGGCGAAGGCGGCAUCCUGGACCGGCAUUGACGCUGAGGAGCGAAAGCCAGGGGAGCAAACGGG